Molecule: ribosomal RNA, 292 nt
Filed under: uncultured bacterium
Lineage: Bacteria
Description: partial 16S ribosomal RNA
Rfam family: Bacterial small subunit ribosomal RNA
Source: RNAcentral
GUGCCAGCAGCCGCGGUAAUACGGAGGGGGCUAGCGUUGUUCGGAAUCAUUGGGCGUAAAGCGAGAGUAGGUGGUUUGCUAAGUCGGGUGUGAAAUCCCUGGGCUCAACCCAGGAAGUGCAUUCGAAACUAGCUGGCUAGAAGAUGGUAGAGGAAGGUGGAAUUCCAAGUGUAGAGGUGAAAUUCGUAGAUAUUUGGAGGAAUACCGGCGGCGAAGGCGGCCUUCUGGACCAUUCUUGACACUGAGAAUCGAAAGCGUGGGUAGCAAACAGGAUUAGAUACCCUGGUAGUCC